Molecule: long non-coding RNA, 4817 nt
Filed under: Sus scrofa (pig)
Lineage: Eukaryota; Metazoa; Chordata; Mammalia; Artiodactyla; Suidae
Description: lncRNA (ENSSSCG00025049344.1)
Source: RNAcentral
UUUUUUUUUUGUAUUUUUAAAAAAUUACAGUUGAUUUACAAUGUUGUGCCAGUGCAGUCACUUUCAACUGGCCCCAACCACUGCUACCCCCAGCUCCAGGCAACCACCAAUUGCCUAUUCUAGAUGACCACACUAUGUGGCCUUUCUCAUCCUACCACUUUUGGCUGGCAUAAUAUUUUUAGGACUCAUCCAUGUUGUAGUGUGUAUUAGUAUUUCACUCCUUUUCAUGGCCGCAUAAUAUGCCAUUAUGUGGACAUACCACAUUUUGUUUAUUCAUCUGUCCAUUAACAGACAUCUUGGGUUGUCUCUACUUCUUGGCCAUUGUGUAUAAAGCUGCUGCUAUGAACAUUUGUGUACAAAUUUUUGCACAGACAUAUGUUUUCAAGUUUCUUGUGUACAUGCCUAAAAGUAGAAUUGUUGGGUCAUGUGGCAAUUCUAGGUUUGAACACAUAAGGAACUGACAGGCUUUUUUCCAAAGUAUUUACAUUUCCACUAGCAGUGUAUGAGUGUUCAAUUUCUCCUCAUCUUAGUUAACACUGACUAUUAUCUGUCUUUUUAAAUUAUAGUCAUGCUUGUGGAAACACUGUAUUUUGAGGCAGUUCAUCUAUAACAUCCACUGAAUUGGAUGUUGGCAGACAUUGCAUAUUUUAUAAACCAAAAAAGAAACAUUUUAUAGAUUGGUAACAGUCAUUAUAAAAGUAGGAUUAAAUAGUCCAAACCCAAAAGCGAAACAAUUUAAAAUAAAAAGUAGAAGUUAAAAAAAAUUAAAAAUGAAACAAGUACAUUUCAAGAGGAAUGACCACAACAUGAACUCCUGUGACCACAGAUCUGUCACUUUUUUGGUACAUCAGUCCGUAGCUAACCUACUAAUCAGAGCUCAAGAAAGUUGUGCCCUUUUUGGAGAGGUACAAGCACAUCUGCUGGCUUAUUCUAACCAUCAGAAAUCAGACAAUAAAUCCCAUUAGUAGUGGAUGAAGCAUUUUAUCAGCAACAAAGAUUAACUGCAAAAUUAAUGCUGCAAAGCCUCUAUUUUUGGAAUAUUGAAAAAACUGAAUUAAACAACAGAAAUUAAUCAUAAGUGAAAAAAAAAGAAAUUAAGCAUAAGCGAAUGCACUAUACACAGCACAAAAAUGUUAAUGAACGGGAAGGAAGAUGUCACAAGAAGGAAAAGUCUGAACUAUGUUUUACAAAACGACAAAGCGGGCACUUAGGAAAACAGUGACUUAUAUUAGUCAGAUGCUCAGACCUUUGCUAACUCUAAAUACAUCUCUGAAAACUUCACCCCACUCUAUCCCAAGAGCACUUCAUAUGUUUGCUUGUAAUACAUAAAUGGCAGAAAACUUUUAUUUAUAUUUUUAAAGCACACGUAAACCAGUAGAGGUGCACCAACAAGGCAACAGAAAAAACCAUAAAGGAUAAAUAUGGCUUCUAAAAUAACGACUCCAAGUCUCAUUCAUAAUUCUAGUGGUAUGCAUUAAAAUAAUAAUGACAUAAUAGUUAUUUAGAAAUUGAAAAUACAAACAUAUUUUUCUGUUGACGUUUCUAACGCAUGAACUGUCUCAGACACAAACUCCCAUUAGUUUGCAGAAAGGUUGUCUUUAAAGAAACUCAAUUCCUUCAUCUACAGUCAUUUUCUCCCGAUCUUGUCUUAGCUCUUAGAUAAAAAAGGCCCAAGAGCUCACAAAACAUAGGCAUAUUCCCAUACCAAUUUAGACUUGUAAGACUUUCACAGAACAUAGCAUCAAACUUUGUUAUAAAGAACUACAAUUUUGGAGUUCCCAUUGUAGCUCAGUGACUAGCAUCCAUGAGGAUGCAGGUUCCAUCCCUGGCCUCCCUCAGUGGGUUAAGAAUCCAGUGUUGCCAUGAGCUGUGGUGUAGGUCGCAGAUGAGGCUUGGAUCCUGCAUUGCUGCAGCUCUGGCAUAGGCCAUCAGCUACAGCUCCAAUUCGACCCUAGUCUGGGAACCUCCAUAUGAUGCAGGUGCAGCUCUAAAAAGACCAAAAAAAAAAAAAAAAGAAUUAAAAUUUCAACAAGAACUAACUAGAAUUUUACCACUCCCAGUCUGUUUUAUUCUUCUUUUCUUUCUCCACAUAAGUGCCUGAGCAACAGGAUUUGGAGAAAGUCUUUUGACUAUAAACCUUUGGUAGCUUAUGAAUUGUGGAAUAUCCUGACCGUAAUACCUAACGAAAAUUAUUUAACCUGUAGCUAGAUAAGGAAUGAUGGCUGUCCUUGAGUGGUUUCAAUGAGUAUUCUUUUAGGAAUUACAAGAUUCUAAUUACCAUAUAUCUAUAUUCUUUUCAGCUGGUUCAUUUAAAAAUUGAUCAGAGACAAAAACUAUUUUUGAAAAGUCUAUUUUGCAAAAACGUAUGCCUUUUUCCUUAUAUAAUCUAUUUUACUUAUACAGAAUGCUUCCUUUUUUCUCUUUAUUAAACAGAAAAUCAAUGCGCCAAGUUUCUACUCUCUGUUCAGACUCUACUUGAACAGCAAACAAUUCAAGAUACACAGAUGAUAAAUCUUGACAGAAUUUUUUCAGUGAACAUUGGUCACUCGCUCGACAGAAUAAAAUUUUUGAUUGUGCUUUUUUCGUUAAAAGUCUUCAUUGGUUCUCCUUAAGCCUGAAAAUAAAAUCGUGUUAAGCUACCCUCCCCCCUUCUCUCUGCCUAUUCUAACCUAUUCUCGACAGGUGCUACUGGUGAACUUUCACCCUAUUUUUGGUCUAUUGUGCCUUAUUAAAUCUGAACCGCAUGUGCAGUCAAAGAAAAAGUGAUAUCCUUUUAGUCAUUUUAAACUACUGUUUCCUGAUAUUCCAUAUAUAAGUCAUAUUUCAGCGGGUUUUUUUCCCCCCUGCCAUCUCACGAGUCUGUGUGUUAAAAUUCAGGAAUAUAUUUUUGGAACAGUUUGGUGUAGUUUAGUGGUUUUCAGGAAGCAAAUUUAAGGGAUUUCUUGUUUCUUUUCCCUCCUAGCCAGGCAGGAGCAAGGAGACAGGAUGGUGAAAGCUGGGGAAGGUAUGAUGGCACAGCGGUGGCAGAAUGUGGUCACCAAGGGCCACAGGACGCUGCAGGGACCUGGGGGAGGGGGUCCACACUGUUGUUUCAUGAGGCCUCAGUGAUGCCCUUUGGAGUAAAAAGAACGUGGUUGCCCAGAACACAACUGUCCUACAUCCGUGCAUGGGGUGGGUGGUUAUAGGAGUGACCCUGGCGGACACAUAGGCUCACAGAUAAGGUUGUCUACACCUGCCCACUUCUCUGUGAAUAUACGUUCUCAGGGGCCUGGAGGAAAUCCAAGAUCAUCUGAGGGCUCCUUCGUGGAGAAAGAAGUCCAGAUCCCAGUUUAUAUGCAAAAACACGAAACACGUGUCUUACUCUCCCAAACAGGGCAUGGGAUUCUAACUCCUUCUUUCUCUUUUCCCCUCUAGUGGACAUCGGUUGAGCUCCAGACAGCUUGAGUGCUCCUAAGCCAUGAAGCUUCCAGGGCACUCACAAUUUCAAAUUCUCUGUUUCCAAUUUUGGACAAUGAGUUCUGAAUUUCAGUUCUGAAUUUCAGUUCUGGAGAUGCAGUUAGAGGAUACCUGUUGACCUUGGCCAAUCCCUUCAUAUUUCUCUCUUGGGAGCUCCCUUGAAUAAGGGGGGUCUUGAGGACACCUGCUGCCUGGUGGAGACAUCAGAUUGAGAAGCACACAGCGAGUGCCUUGCCUCCCACCCUGAAAGCCCCCAGACCUGCUGGCCAGCUGAGCUCUCGGCCUUCGCAGUGAGCUCUACAACCUGGAAUCCACGGUGGGCACUGUUAAACCAUCAUUGCCUCUGACUUCUGGAGAAUAAUACUGAGCAAUUCUGUUCAAACACCUUCCAAGACCAGACUAAAAGUCUUGAGUUUAAAGGGAUGGUCAGACUUAUGGUGGACAGGAAACGUCAUAACCCAUAAAGGGCAUUCACAUUCAAAGGAAGAAUUUUAGAAAUUGUGCUUGCCAAAUGAAAUACAUGCUGCCAGAUUCCAGCUCCUGGUUUGGGGGGUUGGGGGUCCACAGCAGCGUCAGAGGCAAGAAAGGACCUGGGGUAAAAUUCCACAAGCUUUCAUGAAUACACCCUAUGCCGAAUUCUUGGAAAAGCAGCUUCUUCCAAGAUGAGGUUAGAGUUUGUGCCUUCGGCUCCGUGCUGUUUCUUCUGCACAUCUCCACGGGCAACCUGCAUCUCUCUGCAGGGCCCUCUUCAAGGCGUCCGAAAACAGACCACUGCAGCCAAUUCACUUAAUGUUCUCUCUGUUCUCCUAAUACCACAUAAUGAAUAGACAACCUUCUGGAAAAUGGGGCUUUUGGCGUUUUUUUUUUUAAAACCCCGGUGUCUGGUUAACCCCAAUCCUUUUCUGUCCACGUGUUCCCUAAUGUUCAGACCCUUUCUGCUAAACUUGCAGUGACGGAUGACAUGCCCAUCUUGCCGCCUCCCCAGAGGAAGCAAAAACUUGCUGCUUUUAUUGAUCCAGGAGCCCUUCAAGAGUCACCACAUGCUCCUGGAAGCUUCUGUCCGAGGGAGGAACAUUCACUCUGACAACCCUGUGCAGACAGAAGCUCACUUCGGGCAGCUGUCCAGCCAUCCCUGCCUCUUGACAGCAGGGAGAGACGGGCCCCCACUGCUCAGUGCCAGUGGGAUUUUCGGGAGUCCUGGCCGCCACGAAGAGAGAAACGGCCUGGACUCAGCAAGGGUAGGGGCUGGCUGGCCAAAGCUGGCAGGGUCAACAGCUCAGCAAAGGAUCAAGCAGCUGACAGUGAAGGAGGACUAUGGGUGGCAACAAGCAAAAAAAAAAAAAAAAAAAAAAAAAAAAAAA